GACGAACGCUGGCGGCGUGCUUAACACAUGCAAGUCGAACGCUGAAGCUCAGCUUUUGUUGGGUGGAUGAGUGGCGAACGGGUGAGUAACACGUGAGUAACCUGCCUCCUUCUUUGGGAUAACGCCCGGAAACGGGUGCUAAUACUGGAUAUUCACUGGUCUUCGCAUGGGGGUUGGUGGAAAGGGUUUUUCUGGUGGGGGAUGGGCCCGCGGCCUAUCAGCUUGUUGGUGGGGUGAUGGCCUACCAAGGCUUUGACGGGUAGCCGGCCUGAGAGGGUGACCGGUCACAUUGGGACGGAGAUACGGCCCAGACUCCUACGGGAGGCGGCAGUGGGGAAUAUUGCACAAUGGGCGCAAGCCUGAUGCAGCGACGCCGCGUGAGGGAUGGAGGCCGUCGGGUUGUGAACCUCUUUCGCUCAUGGUCAAGCCGCAACAAUGGUUGUGGUGAGGGUAGUGGGUAAAGAAGCGCCGGCUAACUACGUG
This 483-nucleotide ribosomal RNA is filed under the name uncultured bacterium. Its description in RNAcentral is "partial 16S ribosomal RNA". It matches the Rfam family "Bacterial small subunit ribosomal RNA", at positions 28 to 507 of the family's 1533-position model. The record is from RNAcentral.